UGAAAAGCUCUUGUUGAGGCAAUGGUAUUGGACUACUCUCAGUUGAGAAGAUGAACCAGGAUAAUCUUUGUGUGUCGCUAGCAUUUACUUCCUAGAAUCUUUAUUUCCGCUGCUACAUCUGUUUCUGAUAUCUAACUUCUUGGUUCAGAAGUGAAAUGAAUUUUUGGACAUACACAAUUCAACCCCCUUUCUUGUGUAUUUUUCUCACCUU
This 211-nucleotide long non-coding RNA is filed under the name Lathyrus oleraceus (garden pea). RNAcentral describes it as "Pisum sativum (pea) long non-coding RNA (PSAT_LNC029357)". Lineage: Eukaryota; Viridiplantae; Streptophyta; Magnoliopsida; Fabales; Fabaceae. The record is from RNAcentral.